This 192-nucleotide long non-coding RNA is filed under the name Ornithorhynchus anatinus (platypus). Its description in RNAcentral is "lncRNA (ENSOANG00000050506.1)". Lineage: Eukaryota; Metazoa; Chordata; Mammalia; Monotremata; Ornithorhynchidae. The record is from RNAcentral.
GUCGUUGCCAGGGCCACCAGGUGGAUAAGGCAGAUGAAGCAACUGAGGCUGAAGUGACAGUAAUGACACUAAGGAGAAUUUGUCAUUGAGCCGCUGCAGAAGACAAAGGCCAGAUACCACCUUGGAGAUCAACCCCACUCACCAUCAAUUCUACGAGAUAAGCUACAGCUCAGGAUUUGGGGAGGCCUGUUC